AUGGUCGACGCGGGUCAAAGUGUAUAGUAUCUGUUCCUAUCAGCUUAAUAUCUGAUACGGGUUGUAUUUAAACCCAAGAUAUUAAACUUUUUUUUUUCUUUUUUUGCAAGUUGGCGGAGUGCUUGAAGCCUGCUUUACCUAGCUCCGCCGCAGGUCGGCCUGGUAUUGCACUAUCUUCGGGAUUUUUGGUCUACGGACA
Molecule: small nuclear RNA, 199 nt
Organism: Dermacentor silvarum
Lineage: Eukaryota; Metazoa; Arthropoda; Arachnida; Ixodida; Ixodidae
Product: U2 spliceosomal RNA
Exons: 1
Source: RefSeq, a predicted model, not a curated record